UACGAAGGGGGCUAGCGUUGCUCGGAAUCACUGGGCGUAAAGGGUGCGUAGGCGGGUCUUUAAGUCAGGGGUGAAAUCCUGGAGCUCAACUCCAGAACUGCCUUUGAUACUGGCGGCCUUGAGUUCGGGAGAGGUGAGUGGAACUGCGAGUGUAGAGGUGAAAUUCGUAGAUAUUCGCAAGAACACCAGUGGCGAAGGCGGCUCACUGGCCCGAUACUGACGCUGAGGUGCGAAAGCGUGGGGAGCAAACAGG
Molecule: ribosomal RNA, 253 nt
Filed under: uncultured bacterium
Lineage: Bacteria
Description: partial 16S ribosomal RNA
Rfam family: Bacterial small subunit ribosomal RNA
Source: RNAcentral